GUGGGAGCUGGCUUGCCUGCGAUAGCGGUCUGCCAGCCAGCACAUUUGGCGACCGGUCGUCCGCCAUCGCAGGCAAGCCAGCUCCCAC
Molecule: unclassified non-coding RNA, 88 nt
Filed under: Pseudomonas sp. bs2935
Lineage: Bacteria; Pseudomonadati; Pseudomonadota; Gammaproteobacteria; Pseudomonadales; Pseudomonadaceae
Source: RNAcentral